Molecule: long non-coding RNA, 357 nt
Organism: Etheostoma cragini (Arkansas darter)
Lineage: Eukaryota; Metazoa; Chordata; Actinopteri; Perciformes; Percidae
Exons: 4
Source: RefSeq, a predicted model, not a curated record
GGACGCUUCCGGAGAGCCGACGGUCACCCCCCACCCCGGGAGUGAUGACGUCAUCCAGGGGUACCUCUUCAAACGCUCGAGGAGGAAAACCAAAACCUGGAAGAGGUCCUGGUUUUCCAUCAGAGACAACCAGCUCGUGUACAGGAAGUCCCACAAGGAGGAGCCCGUAGUCCUGUUUGAGGACCUCCGCCUGUGUGCCGUCAAACCUCUGGAGCACCUGGACCGGCGCUUCUGCUUCGAGCUGCUGUCUGUCCAGAAGUGCUGUGCUCUGCAGGCAGACUCGGAGCAGUUGAAGCAGGCGUGGCUCCUCGCUCUGCAGGGCAGCAUCGACCUCGCCUACAGAGACUCCGCCCACUC